GCGGUCGCCGCGGUUUGGGGGGCGGCCGCCACUCGUCCCUUCGGUCGCUGCCGGCGGGGAACGCACCGUGGGCUAUGGUCCAUCCGUGUGGCUCUCGACUUUUCAAGCUGUUUACUGCUGAUAUAUAUGAUGCAUCUGUUACUUCAGGGAUUUAAAUGAUGCAGAACCCCUUAGGAGAUGUAUAUAAGGAACUGAAACUGUUCUUCAUGAGAUUUCUGGCUGCAUCACUGGAAAGGUACUACUGCCAAACCUCCAAACA
Molecule: long non-coding RNA, 259 nt
Organism: Falco peregrinus (peregrine falcon)
Lineage: Eukaryota; Metazoa; Chordata; Aves; Falconiformes; Falconidae
Exons: 3
Source: RefSeq, a predicted model, not a curated record